UUUAUGUUUAAUAGGUGAAAGUCUACGAAUAAAAAGAAAUGGAAGGAAAGAAGCAAAAAGGGCGGAAAUAGCAAAAUCCAAAGCACGUGGAUUAAAUUGGCCAUUGGAUACAAUUUUUGGGAAUCAAAGUAACUAUAAAAAUGGAAGGACUGAUUUGCUUCGCUUUGAAGAUUGAGUAUUUGGAGAGAAAUAAUUGAUUAAUGGGCCUCAAUUGGACAUGCCUUGGAAUUCAAGUUUAAUACUUAAUUGGACUUCCAAUUGGGUUACAACUAAAAGGGCUGCAUGGGGAUGAAUUUGGGUUUCUUUUUGGUCAAGUUAGUUGGCUAAUUUCAAGUAUAUAUACAUGCACUUACAGAAACGGAAAAAAAAAAAAGAAAAACCUAGAGAGCUGAGGGAAUUAGAAAAACGGCCGACAGGAGAGUCAGAGAAGCUGCGGCUGCUGGAGGAGAUUGUGGGGGCUGAUUUAUAUAUAUUUUACACACCAAUUAGAGGGGAAAAAAGGUGAGAUAUAUAUACAAGAAGUCGCUGGCCAGAAUUCACAAAAAAAAGGCUGCUUGGGAGUAAAAGAAAAGUGGCUGCUAGUCUAAAAUAUACAUAUACAUACACUGCCAGGUGAGAAAGUGGAGAAGACGAGUGCCAACUCGAGAAAUAUUUAUACACACUUUGGCGGCUGAACUUAGGGAAACUGGUUAUAUAUAUACACAGAAUUUGGUAGAAAAAGUGGAAGAAUUCUUGGGGUUUUGCUUUGGAAUUCAAACUUAGCAGCUGGAAGAUUGAAGGAAAAUAAAAGUCAGAAACAUUGUGGCUGGAAGUCAAAGAAAAGGCUACAGAUUUGGGAGGAAAACAACCGGCCAAAGUGAAAGAAAAAUACACUCGCGCGGAAGUCCAGAAAGAAAUUGAGGAAUUAAUCAUGUCUCGUCAAGUUUUGGUGAUUUCCUUCCACUUUUCUUUGAUUAAUUCCAACAGUAUGCUAGGCUAAUUUUUCUCCUGUAUUGGAUGGAUGACAAAGUUGUUU
RNAcentral lists this long non-coding RNA (1015 nucleotides) under Olea europaea subsp. europaea. Lineage: Eukaryota; Viridiplantae; Streptophyta; Magnoliopsida; Lamiales; Oleaceae. The record is from RNAcentral.